UAGGAUGCAGAAAGAUAUGUCCCGUGC
Molecule: non-coding RNA, 27 nt
Filed under: Rattus norvegicus (Norway rat)
Lineage: Eukaryota; Metazoa; Chordata; Mammalia; Rodentia; Muridae
Source: RNAcentral